Molecule: ribosomal RNA, 422 nt
Filed under: Laparocerus vestitus
Lineage: Eukaryota; Metazoa; Arthropoda; Insecta; Coleoptera; Curculionidae
Description: partial 16S ribosomal RNA
Source: RNAcentral
GGUAUUUUGACCGUGCAAAGGUAGCAUAAUCAUUAGUUUUUUAAUUGAAAGCUGGAAUGAAAGGUUGGAUGAGAAAUAAGCUGUCUCUAUUUAAUUUUAUUAGAAUUUUAUUUUUAAGUAAAAAAGCUUAAAUUUUGAUAGAAGACGAGAAGACCCUAUAGAGUUUUAUUUAUUUUUUAAAUAAAAUUAAUAGUAUUAAUUAUUUUUAUUUAAAAAAUAAAUUUAAUUGGGGUGAUUGAAAAAUUUGAUAAACUUUUUUUGUAUAUAUACAUUGAUAUAUGGUUAAUUGAUCCUUAAUUUAAGAUUAAAAGAUAAAAUUACCUUAGGGAUAACAGCGUAAUUUUUUUUGAGAGUUCAAAUCGAAAAAAAAGAUUGCGACCUCGAUGUUGGAUUAAAAUAAAAUUUUGGUGUAGAAGCUAAAA